GACGAACGCUGGCGGCGUGCCUAAUACAUGCAAGUAGAACGCACCCUUUAUACCUUAGCUUGCUACACCAUAUACUGUGAGUUGCGAACGGGUGAGUAACGCGUAGGUAGCCUGCCUUGUAUCGGGGGAUAACUAUUGGAAACCAUAGCUAAGACCGCAUAAUAUUGAUUAUUCCAUGAUAAUUUAUUGAAAGAUGCUAUUGCAUCACUACCCGAUGGACCUGCGUUGUAUUAGCCAGUAGGUGAGGUAACGCCUCACCUAGGCGACGAGACGUAGCCGCCCUGAGAGGGGGAGAGGCCAAGCUGGGAGUGGGACACGGCCCAGAAUCCUACGAGUGGGAGCCGUACGGAAUCUUCGGCAAUGGACGAAAGUCUGACCGAGCGACGCCGCGUGAGUGAAGAAGGUUGUCGGAUCGUAAAGGUCUGUUGUAAGAGAGGAACGGGUGUGAGAGUGGAAAGUUCACAUAGUGACGGUACCUGACCAGAAAGCGACGGCUAACUACGUG
RNAcentral lists this ribosomal RNA (505 nucleotides) under uncultured bacterium. Its description in RNAcentral is "partial 16S ribosomal RNA". It matches the Rfam family "Bacterial small subunit ribosomal RNA", at positions 28 to 507 of the family's 1533-position model. The record is from RNAcentral.